This 73-nucleotide transfer RNA is filed under the name Glycine tomentella. RNAcentral's name for it is "tRNA-Ile". It matches the Rfam family "tRNA". Rfam says of the family: Transfer RNA (tRNA) molecules are approximately 80 nucleotides in length. Their secondary structure includes four short double-helical elements and three loops (D, anti-codon, and T loops). The record is from RNAcentral. Lineage: Eukaryota; Viridiplantae; Streptophyta; Magnoliopsida; Fabales; Fabaceae.
GGGCUAUUAGCUCAGUGGUAGAGCGCGCCCCUGAUAAUGGCGAGGUCUCUGGUUCAAGUCCAGGAUGGCCCAG